GCCGCCAUCGUCUAACGGUUAGGACACAAGCUUCUCAAGCUUGUUAUAGGGGUUCGAUUCCCCUUGGCGGUACCA
Molecule: transfer RNA, 75 nt
Filed under: Candidatus Magasanikbacteria bacterium CG10_big_fil_rev_8_21_14_0_10_36_32
Lineage: Bacteria; Candidatus Magasanikiibacteriota
Also listed under: 1 other name
Description: tRNA-Glu
Rfam family: tRNA
About the family: Transfer RNA (tRNA) molecules are approximately 80 nucleotides in length. Their secondary structure includes four short double-helical elements and three loops (D, anti-codon, and T loops). Further hydrogen bonds mediate the characteristic L-shaped molecular structure. tRNAs have two regions of fundamental functional importance: the anti-codon, which is responsible for specific mRNA codon recognition, and the 3' end, to which the tRNAs corresponding amino acid is attached (by aminoacyl-tRNA synthetases). tRNAs cope with the degeneracy of the genetic code in two manners: having more than one tRNA (with a specific anti-codon) for a particular amino acid; and 'wobble' base-pairing, i.e. permitting non-standard base-pairing at the 3rd anti-codon position.
Source: RNAcentral